AUUGAACGCUGGCGGAAUGCUUUACACAUGCAAGUCGAGCGGCAGCGCGGGGGCAACCCUGGCGGCGAGCGGCGAACGGGUGAGUAACAUAUCGGAACGUACCCCGUCGUGGGGGAUAACACAGCGAAAGCUGUGCUAAUACCGCAUACGACCUGAGGGUGAAAGCGGGGGAUCGCAAGACCUCGCGCGAUGGAGCGGCCGAUGCCGGAUUAGCUAGUUGGUGAGGUAAAGGCUCACCAAGGCGACGAUCCGUAGCUGGUCUGAGAGGACGACCAGCCACACUGGAACUGAGACACGGUCCAGACUCCUACGGGAGGCAGCAGUGGGGAAUUUUGGACAAUGGGCGCAAGCCUGAUCCAGCCAUUCCGCGUGAGUGAAGAAGGCCUCGGUGUUAAAGGACUCUUUCGUCAAGGAAAGAAAACUUAAUCUCCUAAUACGAGGUGAGGUUGACGGUA
Molecule: ribosomal RNA, 455 nt
Filed under: uncultured bacterium
Lineage: Bacteria
Description: bacterial SSU rRNA
Rfam family: Bacterial small subunit ribosomal RNA
Source: RNAcentral